Molecule: transfer RNA, 74 nt
Filed under: Chloroflexota bacterium
Lineage: Bacteria; Bacillati; Chloroflexota
Also listed under: 2 other names
Description: tRNA-Gln
Rfam family: tRNA
About the family: Transfer RNA (tRNA) molecules are approximately 80 nucleotides in length.
Source: RNAcentral
UGCCGAGUUGUGUAGUGGUAGCACGGGGGACUUUGGAUCCCUAAGCCCAGGUUCGAAUCCUGGCUCGGCAGCCA